GCGGAUGUAGCUCAGUGGUAGAGCAUCGGCUUCCCAAGCCGGGUGUCGCGAGUUCGACUCUCGUCUUCCGCU
This 72-nucleotide transfer RNA is filed under the name Phycisphaerales bacterium. RNAcentral's name for it is "tRNA-Gly". It matches the Rfam family "tRNA". Rfam says of the family: Transfer RNA (tRNA) molecules are approximately 80 nucleotides in length. Lineage: Bacteria; Pseudomonadati; Planctomycetota; Phycisphaerae; Phycisphaerales. The record is from RNAcentral.